This 388-nucleotide ribosomal RNA is filed under the name uncultured bacterium. RNAcentral's name for it is "bacterial SSU rRNA". It matches the Rfam family "Bacterial small subunit ribosomal RNA", at positions 30 to 420 of the family's 1533-position model. The record is from RNAcentral.
AUUGAACGCUGGCGGAAUGCUUUACACAUGCAAGUCGAACGGCAGCACGGGGCAACCUGGUGGCGAGUGGCGAACGGGUGAGUAAUGCAUCGGAACGUGCCAUUGAGUGGGGGAUAACGUAGCGAAAGUUGCGCUAAUACCGCAUAUUCUGUGAGCAGGAAAGCAGGGGACCGCAAGGCCUUGCGCUCUUUGAGCGGCCGAUGUCAGAUUAGCUAGUUGGUGAGGUAACGGCUUACCAAGGCGACGAUCUGUAGCGGGUCUGAGAGGAUGAUCCGCCACACUGGAACUGAGACACGGUCCAGACUCCUACGGGAGGCAGCAGUGGGGAAUUUUGGACAAUGGGCGCAAGCCUGAUCCAGCCAUGCCGCGUGAGUGAAGAAGGCCUCGG